UACAGAGGGUGCAAGCGUUAAUCGGAAUUACUGGGCGUAAAGCGUGCGUAGUCGGUUAUCUAAGUCGGGUGUGAAAUCCCCGGGCUCAACCUGGGAAUUGCAUUCGAUACUGGAUAGCUAGAGUUCGGCAGAGGGAAGCGGAAUUUCGGGUGUAGCGGUGAAAUGCGUAGAUAUCCGAAGGAACAUCAGUGGCGAAAGCGGCUUCCUGGACCAACACUGACGCUCAGGCACGAAAGCGUGGGGAGCAAACAGG
Molecule: ribosomal RNA, 253 nt
Filed under: uncultured bacterium
Lineage: Bacteria
Description: partial 16S ribosomal RNA
Rfam family: Bacterial small subunit ribosomal RNA
Source: RNAcentral